CAUGAAUCCAGAAAUUCCAACCCUCUGUAUGUGGGAGAACAAGGGACAGCUCCCUCACGUGCUUACUAAGUCAAGUUUUCCAGGACAUAAAACGAGAUCCUUUGGCAUUUGAGAGUUGCUUUUUGUAUACAGCCCUUUAACGGAGCAAAUGGCCAGCCAGGAAACCAAAGUGUGGACAAGGGGAAAGAAGCAUCUGUGGAGGAAGUUCUACAAGCAACCCUCCUCAUCCAUCAACACGGAGAUGCAUUGACACCCUUCUUCAAUCCAGAGGAUGGGC
RNAcentral lists this long non-coding RNA (277 nucleotides) under Pan troglodytes (chimpanzee). RNAcentral describes it as "long non-coding RNA NONPTRT005247". Lineage: Eukaryota; Metazoa; Chordata; Mammalia; Primates; Hominidae. The record is from RNAcentral.